Micropterus dolomieu (smallmouth bass) is the source of this 522-nucleotide long non-coding RNA. RefSeq lists it as uncharacterized. The transcript has 3 exons. NCBI's taxonomy places the organism in Eukaryota, Metazoa, Chordata, Actinopteri, Centrarchiformes, Centrarchidae. The record is from RefSeq and is a predicted model, not a curated record.
ACAAUGCGUGAAAUGUCUACAUGUAGUGUUAAAGGGGUCGCUUAUAGUGAUGAACCCACUAACAAAAUCAGUUAUUGCAGGUUUAAGGAUGGUGGAGGGAAAAAUCUUAGAGAAAGAUUUUUCAAACCCUGGACAUAUAAAACCAAAACUAUCAGACACUGUCUCAGACUCCACUUGAGGUCAGUCAGACAUGUGGAAACCUGAUGAAAAGGGUUUUUGGCACAUAUGCACAGUGAAGAAAUUUCAUUGAGAUGACUGAGGCGCCACCCUGGAAUAAGAGUUUUUAUCUGGUGCCCGUGGUGUCAUUCUAGCGCUGGCACAUAGGUAAUGAUCCGCUUCAUGUCAACCAGCAAUGACUGGUUUGUCAAAGCUGAAGAGGGAGCAACCCAGAGAGUUCCAUGAUCUGCCAUUGCUGUAAAAAAAAAAAAAAGGUCCAUUGGAGAGAAUGUUUAUAAUUGAAAAUUGUUUUUUUUCUAUUAUGAUUGUAUAGUUUGCAUUAAUAUGCUUUGGCAACAUAGUAUU